GUCCGAGUAAUUUAAUGGCCAGAAUGGAACUGUGACUCAGUUCUUGUGGCGGUUCGAUUCCGUCCUUGGACA
Molecule: non-coding RNA, 72 nt
Organism: Tritrichomonas musculus
Lineage: Eukaryota; Parabasalia; Tritrichomonadida; Tritrichomonadidae
Source: the annotation of a GenBank genome assembly